This 447-nucleotide ribosomal RNA is filed under the name Aeribacillus sp. S48D014. Its description in RNAcentral is "bacterial SSU rRNA". It matches the Rfam family "Bacterial small subunit ribosomal RNA", at positions 95 to 526 of the family's 1533-position model. The record is from RNAcentral. Lineage: Bacteria; Bacillati; Bacillota; Bacilli; Caryophanales; Bacillaceae.
GCGGCGGACGGGUGAGUAACACGUGGGCAACCUGCCCUGCAGACUGGGAUAACUUCGGGAAACCGGAGCUAAUACCGGAUAACACCGAAAACCGCAUGGUUUUCGGUUGAAAGGCGGCUUUUAGCUGUCACUGCAGGAUGGGCCCGCGGCGCAUUAGCUAGUUGGUGAGGUAACGGCUCACCAAGGCGACGAUGCGUAGCCGACCUGAGAGGGUGACCGGCCACACUGGGACUGAGACACGGCCCAAACUCCUACGGGAGGCAGCAGUAGGGAAUCUUCCGCAAUGGACGAAAGUCUGACGGAGCAACGCCGCGUGAGCGAAGAAGGUCUUCGGAUCGUAAAGCUCUGUUGUCAGGGAAGAACAAGUGCCGUUCGAACAGGGCGGUACCUUGACGGUACCUGACGAGGAAGCCACGGCUAACUACGUGCCAGCAGCCGCGGUAAUAC